This 206-nucleotide ribosomal RNA is filed under the name uncultured bacterium. RNAcentral's name for it is "partial 16S ribosomal RNA". It matches the Rfam family "Bacterial small subunit ribosomal RNA", at positions 568 to 773 of the family's 1533-position model. The record is from RNAcentral.
CGUGUAGGCGGGAAGGUAAGUCGGGCGUGAAAUCCCUGAGCUCAACUCAGGAACUGCACUCGAAACUACUUUUCUUGAGUGCCGGAGAGGAAAGCGGAAUUCCUGGUGUAGAGGUGAAAUUCGUAGAUAUCAGGAGGAACACCAGUGGCGAAGGCGGCUUUCUGGACGGUAACUGACGCUGAGACGCGAAAGCGUGGGGAGAAACA